This 6270-nucleotide long non-coding RNA is filed under the name Sus scrofa (pig). RNAcentral describes it as "lncRNA (ENSSSCG00035047974.1)". The record is from RNAcentral. Lineage: Eukaryota; Metazoa; Chordata; Mammalia; Artiodactyla; Suidae.
AUUUAUUCAUCAGGCAUUUAUGGAGGAUGUCUCCCCAGAGAUGAUGCUGGGGGCACUGGAGCGGGCACAGGGGAACCUCAGGGAGCCCGGGCCCUUUAGCAUCGAGACGCAGCCUCGUAUGGAGGCAGGGCUGGACUCUGCAGGUGGCAGAAGAGGGAGUGCCACUCAGACUCGUCCUGUGGCUCCAGGGCCCACCUGCCCCCCCAACAGGUGGGAAGCCUCCUACUUCCUUCCCCCCUGUAAAUUCUGCUUUAGGGACAGGGUGUCCCCCACCCUUUCCUUUGCGAUACGGUCUCCUCCUUCCUUUGGCCUGAAUUCUCCUCACAGUGGAAAACUCACUCCCCUCCCACCUCCAGCUCAGAGGCAGCCUCCCUCCCACUCCCCCAGAGCCUGGCACCGAGUGAGCGUCAGCCCCUCUGCCCCAGAACUUCUAUAAUGUGGUCCAGACAGAAUCACCAGCUGCCCUUCCAGGAGAGAAACUGCACCUUAUCCCUCAUGAUGAGACCCCAGGACCAGCAGAAUAGGCCACAACCCAUGUGGGUGGAAAUCGGUCCAAACUGGGACAUUUUCUGUUCAGAGAAUGAUCUGAGGGAAGUGAGAAUGUCUUAUAGGGACAUUUGGUUAGACUCACAGAAGCAGGGGUAGGAGGGGUGGAGACAGAAGAGAGUGACUGGGAAGGGCCAGAACGGGAUGAGGGGGCCCCGCUCUGCCUUGGAGGCUGAAUGUCUGGAGUCUGGGGCUGGCUCCCUGAGUGUGGCCAGCUCACCCGUGAUGCCCCCUCAGUGCCAAGGACAGCCCUGGCGUCUGAGCUCCAGAACUGGGGAAGAGUCUGCAGCUUUGAGGUAUGGAAGGAAAGAAUUUGCAUGUGAUUUCUAUUAAAUGGGUUCUGUGCCUUAAAUGGUGAGUGACAACCAUGCAGGGAGCCUGCAAACCCUCCAGGCCUUCUUGCUGUGCUGCUAUCUGAAUGGGGCUUUGCUGAGCUCUCCCACUGGGGGUUUCAUUCAUGGACAUGGGCCCUGCCUGAGAGUGGCAUACUCUCACUGUGCUGAGUUACAGGCCUGGCAGAGGCUCAGAGUGACAGCACCCAUCACUCCAGGUUGGGCAGACUCAGAAGUCACUGCCUUUCCUGCCCAUCUGGCCCCUGAGUCCUGAGGAAGGCCCCACUUAUUUGCAGAGCAUGGAUUAGGCUCCUGCUGUAAAGCCAGGCACCAAUCUGGAGCAGUGUUAGAGGCAGUGAUAUCCCAGAUGGGAGAGGCCCUGACCCCACGAGGUCACCAGCAGGAGGAGACGCAGGCGUCUGGCCAGGUUUCCGGGAGGAAGGCUGAGGCAGGCUCUCGCUGGGGAGUGCAGUGGUCACAGGCAUUACAGAUGUUGUGCACACCCAACAAAGCCACAUUAGAUGAACAAGAGAACCACUUGCCACAGUUCAUAAACCCCUUAUCAGGUGAGCCACAUGGAGAAAACACAAGACUGUCCAUCCAAGUUCCACAGACCAGGGCCUGGGAAAACUUUCUUGCCCUGAAUGAGAGGCAGCUGCCUUCUUAGCUGCCUGGAGACAAGACAUUAGUGGAGACACUCUGUCCUGAGUCAAGUGCUGGGGAUACAUAGGUGGGGGACAGGUAGCCUCAGAGGAUCAGGGCUGGGGGGUGGGCGGAUCAGAAAGACAAGUCUGUUGAGUUGGUCAUCGAUGAGAUGUGUAGUGCCUGCCUUUGGCCUCAGCUGCAGCAGCCCAGGUUCACCAUCCCAGGGCUGGAUGCAGGCACAACCUUAAACCUAUAACUGCAGAGGCAGUGACCUCCUGGGGACAGUGGUGGAGGGGCCAUCUUCUGGAAGCUCUGUCUACAGUCUUUUUUUUUUUUUUUUUUUCCCCAUUUAGCGCUCCUGAGAAUUCUGUGAAUUAUCUAGAUCUCUUUCUGUCUUAGCUAGUAGACAUUCCCAGUUGCCUGCAGCUAAGGACUCUGGCAAAACUUUUACCUGAAGCCCAUGAAAAUUUCAAGCAAUAGAUUGCAUGGUUUUCAGAAGUAACUGGGAAUCUUCUAAGAGGCAGAUUUGGAAGCAGUUGAGAUGCUAGAAGCGGAUUCCUGGGGAGAACCCAUCCCUGCCUACAGCCUGCAGGCACCCUCAAUUCCUUUUCUCUGUGCUCUGUUGCCCAGUGUUAGCGUUGGAAGGGAUGACAAUGAAAUAUACAUCUGACGGACAAAGAUGGAGUGACUGCAGCUCAUGGCUUGUGGCUGAGCAGAAAUAACCCCAGGAAGUCAGGUUGUUUUUGCCUGUCUGUACUGUAAAGGCUGACCAGGCUCAGAAACAGGCAAGCCCUGUCACGGAACUAAAUUUUGUCUAACUGGCUAAUUAGCAAAUCCUUGUAGGCAAAAUUUCCUGCUUGUCUGUGGUUUGCACCCUAGAGGACCUGGAACCAAUCUCUGCACUGGGCUUGUGCAAACCCUACCCUCUGGGUGGGUAGGUCUGGGGCAGGCUCUGUGCUUGUGGGUAGAGGACCGUGUUCUGGGCUUCGAGGGCUAGCUAGUCUGCAGAGGUGAGUGGCUGGGAGGACUGCGCAUGUGCAUUCUCUAGCCCUUGGUGUCACAGGAUUUUCACCUGGGAAGUUUAAUUGGAUCUCUCAGGUUGUCUCUUUCUGUGGGUUUCUGCAUUUUCCCAAUGGUGGGCCGGCCACCUUUGGAAGCUUCAUUUUCCUUUUUGGGUGUAGGGGGAUCUCUGGGUUCUGGGAAGCAUUCGUAGUGUAGGGACCCCCUUAUUAUUAGGUGCUGUGGGUGAUGGUGGCUCCGCAGGGCCCCUGAGUCAAGGAAGCAGCAGCAGCUUGUGUAGCAGAGCUGCCUUUUCUUCAGGCCACUGAGAAAGGUGCUACUAAGAGAUAAGGGGUAAAAACCGAUUUACAAGUUAAUGAGCUCAGGAGAGCCCCCAGGGCCUCUCCUCCAGCAGCUUUGCCUCACUUUGAAUCCCCUCCCUCUGGGUGCCGGCUCCGCACCUGCCCUGCUGGCUUCCCACCCUUCCCAGUCCUUCCAGACCCACUUCUGCUCCGCCUGAGCCCCCUAGAACCCUGAGGGUGGGGACGCUGGGCUGAGGCUGUGCUCCUGGUGGCCUGGCUCUUUCUGUAGUACAGCCAGUGAGCAGGUGGCUCCUUCCUCAGACUCAGAGCUGCUCUGCAAACGGGAUCUCUCUGUAAACCCCUGGGAGAGGUUGGGGGGUGGGAGGGUGGAGAAGACUUUCCCUCCACUUUCUGGGUUCUGGGCUGAGACCCCAUAAGUUUAGUAACAUGUGACCUGUACACAUGGCGGAGAUCCAGGAAAGCCAAGCAGCUCCCCUCACAGGGCCCAAACACCACCUUAAAUGCCAUCUCGGGCACAAGACAAUAGAAGAUGCUGGGUGGGAAGCCAGUUAUGAGAGGGUCUAGACAAAGCCUGGUAAGUCGUUGUACAGGUCAGCAUUGCUGCCUUCUCCACUGAUAAGGGUUUCUAGAGGUUGAGUCACCCCCCUUUUCCUGGGAGGGUGACACCCUUACAAGUAGAGAUUUCCUAUAUAAAUGGGAAUAUCCCUUAUAAAGGGUAACUAGUUGUAUUUCAGAGCUUCUUCCGUGAAAGCUGUUUCUUAAAAAUAAUCAGCUCAAGAUAAUCCCUCUGCCAAAGAGGCACAUUUUGGCUGUCAGAGUCUGCUCCCCUUCAGUGGUUUCCACAGCAGGAGGGGAGGGAGUGAGGCAUUAGAAUCCCUGGGAGCUUUUCCAAAAAUCUCUCUAGAGAGCAUUUCAACAUAAGGAGAAAGGAGACAGAAAGGGCAGCAUACACACUGACAGACACACAGACUCAUACGGAAACACAGACACACACACAGAAAAGCAUAUACAGACACACACAGAGAUACAGACACAGAAACACAGACACAGAUGCACACAUACAGACACACAGAUACACACAUAUAAACAGAUACAGAUGUACGCAGAGACAAAGACAGAUACAUACACACACAUAUAUUUUAUUGGGGAAAGUAAAGCUCCAUGGUCUGAACAUCCCCUCUUUAGCUGAGAAACAUUGGACCAGAUUAGUGGCUCCCAAGCUCCUUGUGGUUUAUAAAAACACCUUGGGCCAGAUAGCUUAAGAAUGCAGAUUCCUGGGCCCCUUGGACCUUCUCAGUUGGACCCAGGGACAGGACCCAGGAAUCUAUAUUUUAAUACGUUUCCUGGGGCAUCUGCAUACCCAGCAUGUUUGGGGGUCCUCAGGCAGGUGGAUCCUGGGUAGACUCCAGCCCCGUGUCCAGGCAAAGGAAUCAGGUGGUUUGGAUUUAGGGGGGUGCUUAGACCCCUUUUUAGGUUGGCUCUCAAGAAUUUAACAGCGGAUGUCCUGCACCCCCUGGCCUGGGAAGGCUGUCUGCCCAAGUUAUUUUCUGCAGCACAAAGUGGGGGACCCAUCUGGAAAUGUGUGCUAUGGUCUCGUAGCUCCAGGGAGAGGAGACGGGGUCAUGGAACACAGCACAUGGUGUAAAGUCCUUCACCCUCUUCUGCCUGGUUGUGAUAACAGAGCCCGCAGACUCUUCCAGAAGACCAGGCCUCACCCCACUGCCCAGGCCACUUCCCUCCAAGUGCUCAGUGCUGCGAGGGCCUCUCUCAGUGUGGAAGAGUUGUUUUGUCCUCCACUAUCAGCCCCUCUCCUCUGAGCAAGUCACCUUCAGAUCUCUUGAGUGUGAAACCUAAGUUGUUGCAACCUGUUCUCUUCCCUGUUUGAGUUGUGGUCCGGCUUUAGCACAUUGACCUGGGAGAGGGGUGUCCACACUGAGGUCCCCGGGAAUGAGAGUGGCCAAGUGGUGCCCUGUUGUGAUCUCUGCCCAACAGAGAGCCAUGGACACGGGAGGCUACUGAGAAGCCUUCCAAAAGACAAGGUUUUCUUGGAUAAACAAAUAUAGUAUUUACAGCUAUGUCCUAGAUAGUGGACCGGGUGGUAAAAGAAAAACAAAGUCCCAGAGAUAAAUUCAAAGUAGAGUGUGUUUCAUUUCACCGAGAACAGAAGCCCCACCCAGGCCGGCCUGGUCCUCUGGGGCUGGUGCUCUGCUGUUAAACUGAAAUGUCUUUUUGGAACAUCGACACUGCACAAGACUGUGAUGACCAUGAUGGAGCAUGAGAGAGAUAGGACUGCUCUGCAGUCAGGUCUCAACUCAGACAAAUGCAAACACCAGACCUGCCCCUCCCUGGCUGAUGCAAGAGGCCAAUGCUUCCUGCCGACUUGGGCAGUAGCUGGGCCUGCCAGCCCUCAUUCUCCAUGAGGUUGGUUAAGAUACCCGAUCAUAAGUGGCCCCCACUCUCUGACAACAUCCAAUCCAAGCCCCAUUUCCUACAGCCCUUCCCCAAGCAGCCAGUAUAGCCCAGUCCUGCAAGUGCAUUCUGACUCUCUGCACUGGGAUGCUGUGGGUUCUCCCUUCCUCUCUGCAAAGGGGCAUAAAUUCAACGUGCCCAGCUCUGAGGGCCUCCUGGCCCUUAGGCUGGAAAGCACUGACAUUGAUAUCUGAUAUAUUGGCACAGCAAAGGCAUCUCAUAACACAGAGAAUACAGGGUGAGGAUGAAACUAUUAACAGUCGGAGGUAGGAGCUUGGCACCUCCACAGAGUCCUCCCAGUCACUCCUUCAAGGCCCCAGAGUGUGCCUUGGGUGUGCUCAGGUGUAAAUCUUCACUCUCUGGGCACUGUGGCUUUCCUACCAGAGACAGCUGGACACCUACAAGUCCAGAGCUCAUAAAAAAUGUCAGGGCACAGACUCUCCACUAGCCGUGGGUUGAUUUGGCCCCAUAAGCCCAGAAAGUGCUGCUUGAAUCUCCAGCCUCACAAAGUCCCUCCUGAGAACCUUGUGGGCGGGACUCAAGGCUUCACUUUCCUUGGUUGGCCUCUUGUUUCAAGAGGGACAGGCUGCAGGGAGAUAUGGCCAAGAUGGUAGAGAAAUACUGGCUAUAGGGAGUCCUUGGAGUUUCUGGAGCCGGGGAUGCUAUGCAGAAGGCGUGUGGCUAUAGUGCCGAGAGCCAAGUACCUGGGCGGGGAGACCUGUUAAAACCAGAGCAGAGCCUGGAUUUCCUGUUAUGGCUCAGCAGUAGCAAACCUGGUUAGGUUUUGGGUUCCAUCCAUGGCCCUGCUCAGUGGGUUAAGGAUCCUGCAUUGCUGUGAACUGCGUGUGGUGUUAAGUCACUGAUGCAGCUUGGAUCUGGCAUUGCCAUGGCUGUGGUGCAGGCUGGCAGCUGCAGCUCUGAUUCACCCCCAGCCUGGGAAUCUCCAUAUGCCUUGG